UACAGAGGGGGCAAGCGUUGUUCGGAAUUACUGGGCGUAAAGGGCGCGUAGGCGGCCUUCUAAGUCGAACGUGAAAUCCCUGGGCUCAACCCAGGAACUGCGUCCGAUACUGGAAGGCUUGAAUCCGGGAGAGGGAUGCGGAAUUCCAGGUGUAGCGGUGAAAUGCGUAGAUAUCUGGAGGAACACCCGUGGCUAAGGCGGUUCUCUAGUACGGUACUGACGCUGAGACGCGAAAGCGUGGGGAGCGAACAGG
Molecule: ribosomal RNA, 253 nt
Filed under: uncultured bacterium
Lineage: Bacteria
Description: partial 16S ribosomal RNA
Rfam family: Bacterial small subunit ribosomal RNA
Source: RNAcentral